GAUGAACGCUGGCGGCGUGCCUAAUACAUGCCAGUCGAGCGAACAGACGAGGAGCUUGCUCCUUCGACGUUAGCGGCGGACGGGUGAGUAACACGUAGGUAACCUACCUAUAAGACUGGGAUAACUUCGGGAAACCGGAGCUAAUACCGGAUAAUAUUUCGAACCGCAUGGUUCGAUAGUGAAAGAUGGCUUUGCUAUCACUUAUAGAUGGACCUGCGCCGUAUUAGCUAGUUGGUAAGGUAACGGCUUACCAAGGCAACGAUACGUAGCCGACCUGAGAGGGUGAUCGGCCACACUGGAACUGAGACACGGUCCAGACUCCUACGGGAGGCAGCAGUAGGGAAUCUUCCGCAAUGGGCGAAAGCCUGACGGAGCAACGCCGCGUGAGUGGUGAAGGUCUUCGGAUCGUAAAACUCUGUUAUUAGGGAAGAACAAACGUGUAAGUAACUGUGCACGUCUCGACGGUACCUAAUCAGAAAGCCACGGCUAACUACGUG
RNAcentral lists this ribosomal RNA (497 nucleotides) under uncultured bacterium. RNAcentral's name for it is "partial 16S ribosomal RNA". It matches the Rfam family "Bacterial small subunit ribosomal RNA", at positions 28 to 507 of the family's 1533-position model. The record is from RNAcentral.